This 251-nucleotide unclassified non-coding RNA is filed under the name Xylaria cubensis. Its description in RNAcentral is "partial internal transcribed spacer region". The stretch from base 1 to 46 matches the Rfam family "Eukaryotic small subunit ribosomal RNA", at positions 1786 to 1831 of the family's 1831-position model. The record is from RNAcentral. Lineage: Eukaryota; Fungi; Ascomycota; Sordariomycetes; Xylariales; Xylariaceae.
AAGUCGUAACAAGGUCUCCGUUGGUGAACCAGCGGAGGGAUCAUUAAAGAGUUCUAUAACUCCCAAACCCAUGUGAACAUACCCAACGUUGCCUCGGCAGGUCGCGCCUACCUUGUAGCGCCCUACCCUGUAGGGCCUACCCGGGAGACGCGGGUAAGCCUGCCGACGGCCUACCAAACUCUGUUUGAUAUUGAAUUCUGAACCUAUAACUAAAUAAGUUAAAACUUUCAACAACGGAUCUCUUGGUUCUG